Molecule: ribosomal RNA, 318 nt
Filed under: Triticum aestivum (bread wheat)
Lineage: Eukaryota; Viridiplantae; Streptophyta; Magnoliopsida; Poales; Poaceae
Description: partial small subunit ribosomal RNA
Source: RNAcentral
AUGGUACACUUAUCACAAGGGUCCGACAUCUUUCGUUGGAACCUACAUGGGAAUGAGCAAUUCUCAGUGUAUAGAGUUUUGAUCCAGUCUUAUGUGCCAGAUGAUAACAAUUGUAUGAUCUGGAAGAUGAACAUACCCCUUAAGAAUAAAAUCUUUGCAUGGUAUCUUCGUCACGGUGUCAUUCUUGCUAAAGAUAACCUCAUUAAGAGGAAUUGUCAUAGAAGUAAGCAAUGUGUAUUUUCUCCGCAUGAUGAGACAAUAAAACAUUUGUUCUUCCAUGUAAAUUGGCUCGUUCUAUAUGGCCAGUCAUCCAAAUAG